Molecule: ribosomal RNA, 606 nt
Filed under: uncultured bacterium
Lineage: Bacteria
Description: bacterial SSU rRNA
Rfam family: Bacterial small subunit ribosomal RNA
Source: RNAcentral
UAAAGAUUCAUCGCUGAUAGAUAGGCAUGCGUUCCAUUAGGCAGUUGGCGGGGUAACGGCCCACCAAACCGACGAUGGAUAGGGGUUCUGAGAGGAAGGUCCCCCACGUUGGUACUGAGACACGGACCAAACUCCUACGGGAGGCAGCAGUGAGGAAUAUUGGUCAAUGGGCGUAAGCCUGAACCAGCCAAGUCGCGUGAGGGAUGAAGGUUCUAUGGAUCGUAAACCUCUUUUAUAAGGGAAUAAAGUGCGGGACGUGUCCCGUUUUGUAUGUACCUUAUGAAUAAGGAUCGGCUAACUCCGUGCCAGCAGCCGCGGUAAUACGGAGGAUCCGAGCGUUAUCCGGAUUUAUUGGGUUUAAAGGGUGCGUAGGCGGCCUUUUAAGUCAGCGGUGAAAGUCUGUGGCUCAACCAUAGAAUUGCCGUUGAAACUGGGAGGCUUGAGUAUGUUUGAGGCAGGCGGAAUGCGUGGUGUAGCGGUGAAAUGCUUAGAUAUCACGCAGAACCCCGAUUGCGAAGGCAGCCUGCCAAGCCAUGACUGACGCUGAUGCACGAAAGCGUGGGGAUCAAACAGGAUUAGAUACCCUGGUAGUCCACGCAGUAAACG